UGAGGAAUAUUGGUCAAUGGGCGAGAGCCUGAACCAGCCAAGUCGCGUGAAGGAAGACCGCCCGCAAGGGUUGUAAACUUCUUUUGUAUGGGAUUACAGUCACCUACGUGUAGGUGUUUGCAGUUACCAUACGAAUAAGCAUCGGCUAACUCCGUGCCAGCAGCCGCGGUAAUACGUGGGAUGCGAGCGUUAUCCGGAAUUAUUGGGUUUAAAGGGUGCGCAGGUGGCUAAUCAGGUCAGUGGUGAAAAGCUAUGGCUCAACCAUGGUCUUGCCAUUGAAACCGUAUAGCUAGAGAGGAGACGAGGUAGGCGGAAUGUGUGGUGUAGCGGUGAAAUGCAUAGAUAUCACACAGAACUCCGAUUGCGAAGGCAGCUUACCAGGCUUUAUCUGACACUUAGGCACGACAGCGUGGGGAUCAAACAGG
RNAcentral lists this ribosomal RNA (425 nucleotides) under Verrucomicrobiota bacterium. RNAcentral's name for it is "Verrucomicrobia bacterium partial 16S ribosomal RNA". It matches the Rfam family "Bacterial small subunit ribosomal RNA", at positions 355 to 776 of the family's 1533-position model. Lineage: Bacteria; Pseudomonadati; Verrucomicrobiota. The record is from RNAcentral.